This 490-nucleotide ribosomal RNA is filed under the name Pseudomonas sp. CL3.54. RNAcentral's name for it is "bacterial SSU rRNA". It matches the Rfam family "Bacterial small subunit ribosomal RNA", at positions 1 to 491 of the family's 1533-position model. The record is from RNAcentral. Lineage: Bacteria; Pseudomonadati; Pseudomonadota; Gammaproteobacteria; Pseudomonadales; Pseudomonadaceae.
UAGAGUUUGAUCAUGGCUCAGAUUGAACGCUGGCGGCAGGCCUAACACAUGCAAGUCGAGCGGUAGAGAGAAGCUUGCUUCUCUUGAGAGCGGCGGACGGGUGAGUAAUGCCUAGGAAUCUGCCUGGUAGUGGGGGAUAACGCUCGGAAACGGACGCUAAUACCGCAUACGUCCUACGGGAGAAAGCAGGGGACCUUCGGGCCUUGCGCUAUCAGAUGAGCCUAGGUCGGAUUAGCUAGUUGGUGAGGUAAUGGCUCACCAAGGCGACGAUCCGUAACUGGUCUGAGAGGAUGAUCAGUCACACUGGAACUGAGACACGGUCCAGACUCCUACGGGAGGCAGCAGUGGGGAAUAUUGGACAAUGGGCGAAAGCCUGAUCCAGCCCAUGCCGCGUGUGUGAAGAAGGUCUUCGGAUUGUAAAGCACUUUAAGUUGGGAGGAAGGGCAGUAAAUUAAUACUUUGCUGUUUUGACGUUACCGACAGAAUAAGC